AUUGAACGCUGGCGGCAUGCCUUACACAUGCAAGUCGAACGGCAGCACGGGUGCUUGCACCUGGUGGCGAGUGGCGAACGGGUGAGUAAUACAUCGGAACGUACCUUAUCGUGGGGGAUAACGCAGCGAAAGCUGUGCUAAUACCGCAUACGCCCUGAGGGGGAAAGCGGGGGAUCGAAAGACCUCGCGCGAUUAGAGCGGCCGAUGCCUGAUUAGCUUGUUGGUGGGGUAAAAGCCCACCAAGGCGACGAUCAGUAGCUGGUCUGAGAGGACGAUCAGCCACACUGGGACGGAGACACGGCCCAGCCUCCUACGGGAGGCAGCAGUGGGGAAUUUUGGACAAUGGGGGCAACCCUGAUCCAGCAAUGCCGCGUGAGUGAAGAAGGCCUUCGGGUUGUAAGGCUCUUUUGUCAGGGAAGAAACACCGGCUCUAACACAGUCCGGGAAUGACGGUACCUGAAGAAUAAGCACCGGCUAACUACGUGCCAGCCGCCGCAGUAA
RNAcentral lists this ribosomal RNA (501 nucleotides) under uncultured bacterium. RNAcentral's name for it is "partial 16S ribosomal RNA". It matches the Rfam family "Bacterial small subunit ribosomal RNA", at positions 29 to 523 of the family's 1533-position model. The record is from RNAcentral.